GUGCCAGCCGCCGCGGUAAGACGGAGGGUGCUAACGUUGUUCGGAAUCACUGGGCGUAAAGGGCGCGUAGGCGGCUUCAUUAGUCAGAUGUGAAAGCCCGGGGCUCAACCCCGGAACUGCAUUUGAUACUGUGGAGCUAGAGGUCGAAAGAGGAGAGUGGAAUACCCAGUGUAGAGGUGAAAUUCGUAGAUAUUGGGUGGAACACCAGUGGCGAAAGCGGCUCUCUGGUUCGAUUCUGACGCUGAGGCGCGAAAGCGUGGGGAGCAAACAGGAUUAGAUACCCGAGUAGUCC
Molecule: ribosomal RNA, 292 nt
Filed under: uncultured prokaryote
Description: partial 16S ribosomal RNA
Rfam family: Bacterial small subunit ribosomal RNA
Source: RNAcentral